RNAcentral lists this ribosomal RNA (460 nucleotides) under uncultured bacterium. Its description in RNAcentral is "partial 16S ribosomal RNA". It matches the Rfam family "Bacterial small subunit ribosomal RNA", at positions 338 to 795 of the family's 1533-position model. The record is from RNAcentral.
CCUACGGGUGGCUGCAGUGAGGAAUAUUGGUCAAUGGACGAGAGUCUGAACCAGCCAAGUAGCGUGAAGGAUGACGGCCCUAUGGGUUGUAAACUUCUUUUAUAUGGGAAUAAAAUGUUCCACGUGUGGGAUUUUGUAUGUACCAUAUGAAUAAGGAUCGGCUAACUCCGUGCCAGCAGCCGCGGUAAUACGGAGGCUCCGAGCGUUAUCCGGAUUUAUUGGGUUUAAAGGGAGCGUAGGUGGAUUGUUAAGGCAGUUGUGAAAGUUUGCGGCUUAACCGUAAAAUUGCAGUUGAAACUGGCAGUCUUGAGUACAGUAGAGGUGGGCGGAAUUCGUGGUGUAGCGGUGAAAUGCUUAGAUAUCACGAAGAACUCCGAUUGCGAAGGCAGUUCACUGGACUGCAACUGACACUGAGGCUCGAAAGUGUGGGUAUCAAACAGGAUUAGAUACCCUUGUAGUC